GGAGGAGCAUAUUCCAACAGCAGCAGAUGAGGGUGAAGCAUUCUCGAAGGAAGCCGAUGUGCAAGCAGAGAAAAAUGAAAAAUCCUUCGACGUGGAAGAUACCAAUGUGCAAGCAGAGAAAAAUGUCGAAUCAAAUGAGAACUUGAAGGAGAAUAUUCCAAGAGCAGCAGAUGAAGGUGAAACAUUUCCGAAGGAAGCUGAAGCAGAAAGCAAGGAUGAGAUUAAAAAUGACGAUAUUGUUCAUCCAGAUAUUGAUGGAGACGGAGAUGAAAUCGAUAGUUCUGAAGAGAACUUGGAUAAGCAGAUUCCAGCAGGGGAAUGUGAAACAAGCUUGAAAGCAGCCGAAGCAGAAUAUAAGGAGCAGGUCAUUCAUGCUGAUAUUGCUCCUGAAGAGAAGGGUCUAGCAACCAUCUUAACAGAUGAAACACCCAAGGACUGUGUCGAAUCAAAAGAGAAAGUGGAGGAGCAGAUUACAACAGCAGAUGAAGGCGAAAAAAGUACUUAUAUUUCUCCUGAAGAUAGUGAAGUACAAGAAGAUGAAAAUUUUAUUACACUAGAGAAUUUGGAGAAGCCGAUUCGAACAACAUCAGGUGAACGAGAAACAGGCUUGGGAGAAGCUGAAGCAGAAAUUAAGGAGCAGGUCAAAAGUAUUGAUAUUGUUCCUGAAGAGAUGGCAACCAUCUCAACAACUGAGACACCCUUGGACGUUGAAGAUAUCGGUGUACAAGCAGAGGAAACUCUCAAAUCAAAAGAGAACGUGGAGGAGCAUAUUCCAACAGCAGCAGAUGAAGGUGAAAAAUUCUUGAAGGAAGCCGAAGCAGAAAACAAGGCGCAGAUUGACGAGGAAACUUUGAAUUCACAAGAAUCCUCAGACAAAGAAAAAGAAGAAGUGACUGAAAUUACAAACACAAAAGAUGACACUGAAAGGGAGGAGGUAAGAUCGGAAUAAACUUUUUUAUGAGUUUUUCUCUCUGGCUUAUCAUCUGUUUAGUUAUUGACCGAUAUGCAGGAUUCAUAACGUAUCACUGAUAAAUAUGAAUAUGCGAAAAUACGAUGGUUUAUUUUUAAUAUGGUACAAACGAUUUCUAAAAUCUAUUUUCUCCUUAUAUAUUAUGACGGUUUCAUCUCUAAUGUAGGUGCUUGAGACUACCAGCACGGAGCAAGAAACUGGAGAACAUGUGGUACACGAAAUUCAUAGAGUCCCAGAACCUCCUCGAGAUUCCAUUGAUAAAGAAACAAAUGAAGACAACUCCGCGGAAUAUCAGGUUUACCUGGACACAAACAUAAAGCCUACAAGUGCUGUCCUUUUUCUUCGUCUCCCAGUACAUAACCUAUGUUUUUUUUCCCUUCCAAUGUUAGGCAUGUACUGAGGUAGCUGAUGUGAGUACAAGUGCAGAGGAAAAGAACUUAGAGGAACAUGCCAUUCGGGAACUCUCUUCUCCACUGGUAGUAGAAGAAGCAACUAAAGAAAUCCCGGAAGUUGAAAGGCAGGACAAAAACAUUGAUACUGCACCUGAAGAAAAGGGUCAAGCAACCAUCUCAGCAGAUGAAAUGGCCUCGGAAGUUGAGGAUAUUGAUGUACAAUUAAAGGAGAAUCUUGAGUCAGAAGAGAACUUGGAGGAACAAUUUCUGAUAGCAGCAGAUGAAGGUGAAAUAAUCUCCAAAGAUGCCAAAGCAGAAAACCAGGAGCAGAUAAAAAAUGUUGAUAUUGCUCAUGAAGAUGUUGAUGCACAAGCGGAGAAAACUGUCAACUCAGAAGAGAACAUAGAUAAGCAGAUUCCUUCAAUAGCACAUGAAGGUGAAACAAGCUUGAAAGAAACCGCUGUCUUGAUUCUAAAAGAAGAGGUUAGCAUGAUAUAAGAAUUUUCGAUUUUUUUCAUUAUAGUCUAUUGCAUUACAUAUUCCAAUCAAGAAUUGAUAUCCCCUGCAGAAAAAGGAAGAAGAUACAGAAUGUAACGAGCCUUCUGAGGUAGCGAGUAUGACACAUGAAACACGAACUGAAACCACAGAGGACAUAACAGAGCCAAAUAAGGACCUCAAUGCUCCAAUUUCAGGAGAAAGCAACAAAACAUUUGUUGAAAAUAUUUCCACUCUCGCUGAGGUAUCUGAGAUGGAGACUGAGAAAAAUGGCCUGGCUGUCAGCAAUUCUGACUCUGCGUCGGGUGAAGUGAGUCAUGUAACAGGUUUGAAGGAAGCUGAAACAGAAAAGGAGGAGCAGAAAGAAAACAUGGAUACUGCUCCGGAAGAGAAGGGUCAAGCAACCAUCGUAAAAGAUGAAAUGGCCUCGGAAGUUGAAGAUAUUGGUGUACAAGCAGAGGAAAAUUGUGAAUCAAAAGAGAAGUUGGAGGAGCAUAUUCCAACAGCAGCAGACAAGGUUGAAACAUUCUCAAAGGAAGCCGAGGCAGAAAAUGAGGAGCAGAUAAACAAUGGUGAUGUUGCUGCUGAAGAGAAGGUUUCGGAAACCAUCUUAACAAAUGAAAGAACCUUCGACGUGGAAGAUACCAAUGUGCAAGCAGAGAAAAAUGUCGAAUCAAAUGAGAACUUGGAGGAGACUAUUCCAACAGCAGCGGAUGAAGGCGAAACAUCCCUGCAGGAAGCUGAAGCAGAAGGCAAGGAUGAGAUUAAAAGUACUGAUAUUGCUCAUGCAGAUACUGAUGGACAUGGAGAUGAAAUUGAUAAUUCUGAAGAGAACUUGGAUAAGCAGAUCCCAGCAGGCGAACGUGAAAUAAGCUUGAAAGCAGCCGAAGCAGAAUAUAAGGAGCAGGUCAAACAUGCUGAUAUUGUUCCUGAAGAGGAGGGUCUAGCAACCGUCUUAACAGACGAAACACCCUUAGAUGUCGAGGAUAUUGAGGUAAAAACUGACUGUGUCGAAUCAAAAGAGAAUGUGGAGGAGCAGAUUCCAACAACAGUAGAUGAAGGCGGAAAAAGUACUUAUAUUUCUCCUGAAGAUAUUGAAGUACAAGCAGAUGAAAAUUUUAUUACACUAGAGAAUUUGGAGAAGCCAAUUCUAACAACAUCAGGUGAACGAGAAACAGGCUUGGGAGAAGCUGAAGCAGAAAUUAAGGAGCAGGUCAAAAGUAUUGAUAUUGUUCCUGAAGAGAUGGCAACCAUCUCAACAGCUGAGACACCCUCGGAUGUUGAAGUUAUCGGUGUACAAGCAGAGGAAAGCCUCAAAUCAAAAGAGAGCGUGGAGGAGCAGAUUCCAACAGCAGCGGAUGAAGAUGAAAGAUUCUUGAAGGAAUCCAAAGCAGAAAACAAGGAGCUGAUCGACGAGGAAAAUUUGAAUUUACAAGAACAAGUGACUGAAAUUACAAACACAAUAGAAGAUGACACUGAAAGGGAGGAGGUAAGAUCGGAAUAAAUUUUUUUAUGAGUUUUUCUCUCUGGCUUACCAUCUGACAAGUAGUCUCCCUACACGGUUUUGUUAUUGAUUAAGAUGCAAGAUUCAUAACGUAUCACAGAUGCAUAUGAACAUGCGAAGAAACUAUGUUUUAUUUUAAAAUGGUAAGAACGAUUUCUAAAAUCUAUUUUCUCCUUAUAUAUUAUGAUGGUUUCAUCUCUAAUGUAGGUGCUUGAGACUACCAGUACGGAGCAAGAAACUGGAGAACAUGUGGUACACGAAAUUCAUACUGUCCCAGAACCCCCUCGAGACUCCAUUGAUAAAGAAACAAAUGAAGACAACUCCGCGGAAUAUCAGGUUUACCUGGACACAAACAUAAGGCCUACAAAAGUGUGAUCCUUUUUCUUCGUCUCCCAGUACAUAACCUUUGUUUUUUUUUUCCCUUCCAAUGUUAGGCAUGUACUGAGGCAGCUGAUUUGAGUACAAGUGCAGAGGAAAAGAACUUAGAGGAACAUGCCAUUCGGGAACUCUCUUCUCCACUGGUAGUAGAAGAAGCAACUAAAGAAAUCCCGAAAGAAGAAGAAACCUACCCCACGCUUCUAGAAGAAGAGGUAAUCUAGCAUUCAAUAUCAAAUUUUUAGAUUAAAAUACACUAUAGUAUUAUCUUGCAAAUUGAAAUUUACAACUCAUAUCGGCAACAGGAAAAGGAAGGGCAUGCAACAUGUAACAAGCCCAAUGAGGAAUAUGAGGCAGAGAUUGAGAAAAAUAUUCAGGAGAAAGAUGGCAACACAGUUAGCAAUUCUGAAUCUCUGUCUGGAGAACUGAGUCAUGUAACAGCCUUGAAGGAAUGUGAAACAGAGAUUGAAAGGCAGGACAGGAACAUUGAUACUGCUCCUGAAGAGAAGGGUCAAGCAACCAUCUCAGCAGAUGAAACAGCCUCGGAAGUUGAGGAUAUUGAUGUACAAUUAAAGGAGAACCUUGAGUCUAAAGAGAACUUGGAGGAACAAUUUCCAACAGCAGCAGAUGAAGGUGAAAUAAUCUUGAAAGAAGCUGAAGCAAAAAACCAGGAGCAGAUAAAAAAUGUUGAAAUUGCUCAUGAAGAUGUUGAUGCACAAGCGGAGAAAACUGUCAACUCAGAAGAGAACAUAGAUAAGCAGAUUCUGCCAAUAGCACAUGAAGGUGAAACAAGCUUGAAAGAAACCGCUGUCUUGAUUCUAAAAGAAGAGGUUAGCAUGAUAUCAGAAUUUUCGAUUUUUACAUUAUAGUUCAUUGUAUUACAUAUUCCAAUCAAGAAUUGGUAUCCCCCUGCAGAUAAAGGAAGAAGAUACAGAAUGUAAUGAGCCUGCUGAGGUAGCGAGUAUGACACAUGAAACACGAUCUGAAACCACAGAGGACAUAACAGAGCCAAAUAAGGACGUCAAUGCUCCAAUUUCAGGAGAAAGCAACAAAACAUUUGUUGAAAAUAUUUCCACACUCGCUGAGGUAUCUGAGACGGGGACUGAGAAAAAUGUUCAGGAGAAAAAUGGCCCGGCUGUCAGCAAUUCUGACUCUGCGUCAGGUGAAGUGAGUCAUGUAACAGGUUUGAAGGAAGCUGAAACAGAAAAGGAGGAGCAGAAAGAAAACAUUGAUACUGCUCCGGAAGAGAAGGUUCAAGCUACCGUCUUAAAAGAUGAAAUGGCCUCGGAAGUUGAAGAUAUUGGUGUACAAGCAGAGGAAAAUUGUGAAUCAAAAGAGAAGUUGGAGGAGCAUAUUCCAACAGCAGCAGACAAAGUUGAAACAUUCUCAAAGGAAGCCGAGGC
Molecule: long non-coding RNA, 5139 nt
Filed under: Malus domestica (apple)
Lineage: Eukaryota; Viridiplantae; Streptophyta; Magnoliopsida; Rosales; Rosaceae
Description: long non-coding RNA (MDOM_LNC017157)
Source: RNAcentral